Octopus bimaculoides (California two-spot octopus) is the source of this 400-nucleotide long non-coding RNA. The record is from RefSeq and is a predicted model, not a curated record. Lineage: Eukaryota; Metazoa; Mollusca; Cephalopoda; Octopoda; Octopodidae.
GUUUAAGAGUGUGCCUAAGUAAAUAUAUACAUAUAUAUAUAUAUAUAUAUUCAUGGAUAUACAUGUGCGUGUAUCUGAGUGUACCUAAAUCAGAAAUAGGCAGUAUGUAGUGAGACACACAACCAAAGAUCAAGCUCAAUAGUGGGCCCACACUCCACUCUAGUAUUCACAGUAAUAUGACAUGGGGCAUCAACCUCAGGGUAACAAUGAGUGCGAUUUUCACCUAUCGCAGGGGGUUUUGGAAUGUAACACCCACGAUAGGAGAGGGAUUACAACUGAAACCUUCAUAUUGUCCACCUGCAUAUUUUAGAAAAUAACACAACUUCAAUUAUUACUACUCCAGUAUGUAUGACAGUUAUGCUUUGAUAAUGUGGUCAGAAUAAAAACAAACAAAUCUGGA